CGGCGAUGUCCGAAUGGGGAAACCCAGUGCAAUUCGUUGCACUAUCGUUAACUGAAUACAUAGGUUAACGAGGCGAACCGGGGGAACUGAAACAUCUAAGUACCCCGAGGAAAAGAAAUCAACCGAGAUUCCCCCAGUAGCGGCGAGCGAACGGGGAGCAGCCCAGAGUCUGAAUCAGCUUGUGUGUUAGUGGAACGGUCUGGAAAGUCCGACGGUACAGGGUGAUAGUCCCGUACACCAAAAUGCACAGGCUGUGAACUCGAAGAGUAGGGCGGGACACGUGGUAUCCUGUCUGAAUAUGGGGGGACCAUCCUCCAAGGCUAAAUACUCCUGACUGACCGAUAGUGAACCAGUACCGUGAGGGAAAGGCGAAAAGAACCCCGGCGAGGGGAGUGAAAAAGAACCUGAAACCGUGUACGUACAAGCAGUGGGAGCACCUUCGGGUGUGACUGCGUACCUUUUGUAUAAUGGGUCAGCGACUUAUAUUCUGUAGCAAGGUUAACCGUAUAGGGGAGCCGCAGGGAAACCGAGUCUUAACUGGGCGUUAAGUUGCAGGGUAUAGACCCGAAACCCGGUGAUCUAGCCAUGGGCAGGUUGAAGGUUGGGUAACACUAACUGGAGGACCGAACCGACUAAUGUUGAAAAAUUAGCGGAUGACUUGUGGCUGGGGGUGAAAGGCCAAUCAAACCGGGAGAUAGCUGGUUCUCCCCGAAAGCUAUUUAGGUAGCGCCUCGUGAAUUCAUCUUCGGGGGUAGAGCACUGUUUCGGCUAGGGGGUCAUCCCGACUUACCAACCCGAUGCAAACUACGAAUACCGAAGAAUGUUAUCACGGGAGACACACGGCGGGUGCUAACGUCCGUCGUGAAGAGGGAAACAACCCAGACCGCCAGCUAAGGUCCCAAAGUCAUGGUUAAGUGGGAAACGAUGUGGGAAGGCACAGACAGCCAGGAUGUUGGCUUAGAAGCAGCCAUCAUUUAAAGAAAGCGUAAUAGCUCACUGGUCGAGUCGGCCUGCGCGGAAGAUGUAACGGGGCUAAACCAUGCACCGAAGCUGCGGCAGCGACACUAUGUGUUGUUGGGUAGGGGAGCGUUCUGUAAGCCUGCGAAGGUGACCUGUGAGGGUUGCUGGAGGUAUCAGAAGUGCGAAUGCUGACAUAAGUAACGAUAAAGCGGGUGAAAAGCCCGCUCGCCGGAAGACCAAGGGUUCCUGUCCAACGUUAAUCGGGGCAGGGUGAGUCGACCCCUAAGGCGAGGCCGAAAGGCGUAGUCGAUGGGAAACAGGUUAAUAUUCCUGUACUUGGUGUUACUGCGAAGGGGGGACGGAGAAGGCUAUGUUAGCCGGGCGACGGUUGUCCCGGUUUAAGCAUGUAGGCUGGUUAUCCAGGCAAAUCCGGAUAAUCAAGGCUGAGGUGUGAUGACGAGGCACUACGGUGCUGAAGUAACAAAUGCCCUGCUUCCAGGAAAAGCCUCUAAGCAUCAGGUAACAUCAAAUCGUACCCCAAACCGACACAGGUGGUCAGGUAGAGAAUACCAAGGCGCUUGAGAGAACUCGGGUGAAGGAACUAGGCAAAAUGGUGCCGUAACUUCGGGAGAAGGCACGCUGGUGUGUAGGUGAAGUCCCUGCGGAUGGAGCUGAGACCAGUCGAAGAUACCAGCUGGCUGCAACUGUUUAUUAAAAACACAGCACUGUGCAAACACGAAAGUGGACGUAUACGGUGUGACGCCUGCCCGGUGCCGGAAGGUUAAUUGAUGGGGUUAUCCGUAAGGAGAAGCUCUUGAUCGAAGCCCCGGUAAACGGCGGCCGUAACUAUAACGGUCCUAAGGUAGCGAAAUUCCUUGUCGGGUAAGUUCCGACCUGCACGAAUGGCGUAAUGAUGGCCAGGCUGUCUCCACCCGAGACUCAGUGAAAUUGAACUCGCUGUGAAGAUGCAGUGUACCCGCGGCAAGACGGAAAGACCCCGUGAACCUUUACUAUAGCUUGACACUGAACAUUGAGCCUUGAUGUGUAGGAUAGGUGGGAGGCUUUGAAGCGUGGACGCCAGUCUGCGUGGAGCCAACCUUGAAAUACCACCCUUUAAUGUUUGAUGUUCUAACGUUGGCCCCUUACCGGGGUUGCGGACAGUGUCUGGUGGGUAGUUUGACUGGGGCGGUCUCCUCCCAAAGCGUAACGGAGGAGCACGAAGGUUAGCUAAUCCUGGUCGGACAUCAGGAGGUUAGUGCAAUGGCAUAAGCUAGCUUGACUGCGAGCGUGACGGCGCGAGCAGGUGCGAAAGCAGGUCAUAGUGAUCCGGUGGUUCUGAAUGGAAGGGCCAUCGCUCAACGGAUAAAAGGUACUCCGGGGAUAACAGGCUGAUACCGCCCAAGAGUUCAUAUCGACGGCGGUGUUUGGCACCUCGAUGUCGGCUCAUCACAUCCUGGGGCUGAAGUAGGUCCCAAGGGUAUGGCUGUUCGCCAUUUAAAGUGGUACGCGAGCUGGGUUUAGAACGUCGUGAGACAGUUCGGUCCCUAUCUGCCGUGGGCGCUGGAGAAUUGAGGGGGGCUGCUCCUAGUACGAGAGGACCGGAGUGGACGCAUCACUGGUGUUCGGGUUGUCAUGCCAAUGGCACUGCCCGGUAGCUAAAUGCGGAAGAGAUAAGUGCUGAAAGCAUCUAAGCACGAAACUUGCCCCGAGAUGAGUUCUCCCUGAGACUUUAAGUCUCCUGAAGGAACGUU
RNAcentral lists this ribosomal RNA (2711 nucleotides) under Klebsiella pneumoniae. Its description in RNAcentral is "bacterial LSU rRNA". It matches the Rfam family "Bacterial large subunit ribosomal RNA". The record is from RNAcentral. Lineage: Bacteria; Pseudomonadati; Pseudomonadota; Gammaproteobacteria; Enterobacterales; Enterobacteriaceae.